GCCUUUGUGGUGUAGUGGUCAGCACACUGGGUUGGUAUUCCAGAGGUCUGUGGUUCGAGGCCCUUCGAAGGGG
Molecule: transfer RNA, 73 nt
Filed under: Stegodyphus mimosarum
Lineage: Eukaryota; Metazoa; Arthropoda; Arachnida; Araneae; Eresidae
Rfam family: tRNA
About the family: Transfer RNA (tRNA) molecules are approximately 80 nucleotides in length. Their secondary structure includes four short double-helical elements and three loops (D, anti-codon, and T loops).
Source: Rfam by way of RNAcentral